This is a long non-coding RNA of Brassica napus (rape), 713 nucleotides long. RefSeq lists it as uncharacterized. The transcript has 2 exons. Lineage: Eukaryota; Viridiplantae; Streptophyta; Magnoliopsida; Brassicales; Brassicaceae. The record is from RefSeq and is a predicted model, not a curated record.
CGAUGAGAAUCGCUUCCCGAACGGGCCGCUACAUGGUUUAUCGUCGGAGCAGUUCAGCAAGUUCACGGAGAUCGCGUAGAGAAGACGAGUGUCGAUUUUAACCGGGACGUUAACCGGACUGUUACUGGUUCGAUAGCUUCUAAAUUGUGGUGGUGGUUUUGUCAAAACCGGCACCAAAGGCGGAGGAGUAAGCUCGAGCCGCCAUGAAGUAACGGCCUGACCGCUGAUUCGCGUGGAGAAGGACGUCCAUGGAUUGGCCUGGAGUGAUCAUUAGGUAACUUGUAUUGAAAUGCUUUAAGUAGAGACCGUCUUUGGCCACAACCGUUAAGGUGUGGUUUGCGAUUGCAAAGAAGAGCUCUUCGUCCAUCACUGCAUUGAUAAUCCGGAGAAGGUAUCGUCGAUGGCGCACUACCGUCAUUUUAAAUGUGUCUGUUAGCAGAUGGCAAAGAAAAAUAACAAUGUUACGUUAGUGCCAGAUAAAUGAUGAUGAGCAUGUGUUGAAUUUGGAAGACUUACCCGGUUUAGAGCAGGGGUAGAUAUAACCGGGUUGUCCGUUUAUGGUAUAUGCAUCUGAGAUAGCCGGUUCACCUCCGGUUUUAUUAGCGUUUCCUGCAAUAUCCAUUAUGUUUUUCUUCUUCCACCAUUCACCUAUCAUUUGUCACAAAAUGUAUAAUAUCAUAAGUCAUAAUAAUAUUAAAAACUUGAUUCCAUCA